Molecule: ribosomal RNA, 831 nt
Filed under: uncultured bacterium
Lineage: Bacteria
Description: bacterial SSU rRNA
Rfam family: Bacterial small subunit ribosomal RNA
Source: RNAcentral
GAGUUGAAUCCUGGCUCAGAUUGAACGCUACCGGCAUGCCUAACACAUGCAAGUCGAACGGGACAGCGCGGAGAGAACUUGUUUUUCUCUAGCGAGUUGAGUGGCGAACGGGUGAGUAAUGCGUAGGAAUCUACCUUUUAGAGGGGGAUAACCCGAGGAAACUCGGGCUAAUACCGCGUAGUAUCUCUUUUCAUAGAAAAGUUGAAGAAAGCGGGGGAUCCUUGAGUUUUUUUAAGGACCUCGCGCUAAAAGAUGAGCCUGCGUCGGAUUAGUUAGUUGGUGGGGUAAUAGCCCACCAAGACGAUGAUCCGUAGCUGGUCUGAGAGGAUGAUCAGCCACACUGGGACUGAGACACGGCCCAGACUCCUAUGGGAGGCAGCAGUGGGGAAUAUUGGACAAUGGGGGAAACCCUGAUCCAGCAAUGCCGCGUGUGUGAAGAAGGCCUUCGGGUUGUAAAGCACUUUCAGCAGGAAAGAAAGUCUUAAAGUUAAUACCUUUAAUGAGUUGACGUUACCUGCAGAAGAAGCACUGGCUAACUCUGUGCCAGCAGCCGCGGUAAUACAGAGAGUGCAAACGUUAAUCGGAAUUACUGGGCGUAAAGCGCGCGUAGGUGGAUAUUAAAGUCGGGUGUGAAAGCCCCGAGCUUAACUCGGGAAUUGCGUUCGAUACUGAGUAUCUAGAGUAUAGUAGAGGGAAGUGGAAUUUCCGGCGUAGCGGUGAAAUGCGUAGAUAUCGGAAGGAACACCAGUGGCGAAGGCGGCUUCCUGGACUAAUACUGACACUGAGGUGCGAAAGCGUAGGGAGCAAACAGGAUUAGCUACCGUGGUAGUC